Non-coding RNA from Vicugna pacos (alpaca), 517 nucleotides. The record is from RefSeq and is a predicted model, not a curated record. Lineage: Eukaryota; Metazoa; Chordata; Mammalia; Artiodactyla; Camelidae.
CGCCGAGACACUUUAGGAAUGAGGAGGGGCGCGGUGGAGCUUCCUCGGGGCGGAGGGACACAGCGCAGGCACUUUGCGAGAGACGGAGGCACAGUGCUCUACGUUGGUUCCUUAUUUGCUUCUGUCAUGGUCUCUGCAUGAAAAACGUCCAAAAGCCCUCCCUGACCACCCCAACAAAUAUGUAGAGAGAAGUUAUAUGAUUGGACUUCUAGAAAGGAAAAUACGAUCGUAUGUCGCUAAAGCUGUGUGCUUAAAGUCUGUGUAGAUGAUCGAGGACAACACUCCCUAAAGACAGUUCGGCAUCUGACUUGGAGCUGAUGAAGGAGGAGGAACUUGGGAUCCAGGGGUGAAGUCAACCUGGUCUAAUGGAGGAGGCAUUCUAGUCAAAUCAAACGGAGGAGACAGGGAAAGAAAGGUGCUUCGUGGUGUCCGUCUUGCCAACAUGAAGAUGCUAGUUCUGGGCACAGCCACAAGAUGCCAGAUGGUACCCAGGUGCCAAUUGCUAACUAACUGGUGA